This 222-nucleotide unclassified non-coding RNA is filed under the name uncultured Actinomycetes bacterium. Its description in RNAcentral is "uncultured actinobacterium contains 16S-23S intergenic spacer region". The record is from RNAcentral. Lineage: Bacteria; Bacillati; Actinomycetota; Actinomycetes.
UCCGAGUUGACCCCGGCAGUCUCCUACGAGUCCCCGGCAUAACCCGCUGGCAACAUAGGACAAGGGUUGCGCUCGUUGCGGGACUUAACCCAACAUCUCACGACACGAGCUGACGACAGCCAUGCACCACCUGUAUACCGACCACAAGGGGGGCCGUAUCUCUACGGCUUUCCGGUAUAUGUCAAACCCAGGUAAGGUGGGGAUGACGUCUAGGAGCUCGAC